Stygiomarasmius scandens is the source of this 93-nucleotide non-coding RNA. The record is from the annotation of a GenBank genome assembly. Lineage: Eukaryota; Fungi; Basidiomycota; Agaricomycetes; Agaricales; Campanellaceae.
GGGCACAUGGUGUAGUUGGUUAUCACAUCCGCUUAGCACGUCUGAGGCGUUAGGUUCUGCGGGGGGUGCUGGGUUCAAUUCCCAGUGUGUCCA